UGGGCCUACGGGGGGCAGCAGUGGGGAAUAUUGCACAAUGGGGGAAACCCUGAUGCAGCGACGCCGCGUGAAGGAAGAAGUAUUUCGGUAUGUAAACUUCUAUCAGCAGGGAAGAAAAUGACGGUACCUGACUAAGAAGCCCCGGCUAACUACGUGCCAGCAGCCGCGGUAAUACGUAGGGGGCAAGCGUUAUCCGGAUUUACUGGGUGUAAAGGGGGCGUAGGCGGCGAUGCAAGUCAGAAGUGAAAGCCCGGGGCUCAACUCCGGGACUGCUUUUGAAACUGUAAGGCUAGAUUGCAGGAGAG
RNAcentral lists this ribosomal RNA (305 nucleotides) under uncultured bacterium. RNAcentral describes it as "bacterial SSU rRNA". It matches the Rfam family "Bacterial small subunit ribosomal RNA", at positions 334 to 656 of the family's 1533-position model. The record is from RNAcentral.